This 1066-nucleotide ribosomal RNA is filed under the name Escherichia coli. RNAcentral's name for it is "partial 23S ribosomal RNA". It matches the Rfam family "Bacterial large subunit ribosomal RNA", at positions 333 to 1401 of the family's 2925-position model. The record is from RNAcentral. Lineage: Bacteria; Pseudomonadati; Pseudomonadota; Gammaproteobacteria; Enterobacterales; Enterobacteriaceae.
UGGAAGCGUCUGGAAAGGCGCGCGAUACAGGGUGACAGCCCCGUACACAAAAAUGCACAUGCUGUGAGCUCGAUGAGUAGGGCGGGACACGUGGUAUCCUGUCUGAAUAUGGGGGGACCAUCCUCCAAGGCUAAAUACUCCUGACUGACCGAUAGUGAACCAGUACCGUGAGGGAAAGGCGAAAAGAACCCCGGCGAGGGGAGUGAAAAAGAACCUGAAACCGUGUACGUACAAGCAGUGGGAGCACGCUUAGGCGUGUGACUGCGUACCUUUUGUAUAAUGGGUCAGCGACUUAUAUUCUGUAGCAAGGUUAACCGAAUAGGGGAGCCGAAGGGAAACCGAGUCUUAACUGGGCGUUAAGUUGCAGGGUAUAGACCCGAAACCCGGUGAUCUAGCCAUGGGCAGGUUGAAGGUUGGGUAACACUAACUGGAGGACCGAACCGACUAAUGUUGAAAAAUUAGCGGAUGACUUGUGGCUGGGGGUGAAAGGCCAAUCAAACCGGGAGAUAGCUGGUUCUCCCCGAAAGCUAUUUAGGUAGCGCCUCGUGAAUUCAUCUCCGGGGGUAGAGCACUGUUUCGGCAAGGGGGUCAUCCCGACUUACCAACCCGAUGCAAACUGCGAAUACCGGAGAAUGUUAUCACGGGAGACACACGGCGGGUGCUAACGUCCGUCGUGAAGAGGGAAACAACCCAGACCGCCAGCUAAGGUCCCAAAGUCAUGGUUAAGUGGGAAACGAUGUGGGAAGGCCCAGACAGCCAGGAUGUUGGCUUAGAAGCAGCCAUCAUUUAAAGAAAGCGUAAUAGCUCACUGGUCGAGUCGGCCUGCGCGGAAGAUGUAACGGGGCUAAACCAUGCACCGAAGCUGCGGCAGCGACGCUUAUGCGUUGUUGGGUAGGGGAGCGUUCUGUAAGCCUGUGAAGGUGUGCUGUGAGGCAUGCUGGAGGUAUCAGAAGUGCGAAUGCUGACAUAAGUAACGAUAAAGCGGGUGAAAAGCCCGCUCGCCGGAAGACCAAGGGUUCCUGUCCAACGUUAAUCGGGGCAGGGUGAGUCGACCCCUAAGGCGAGG